Camelus ferus (Wild Bactrian camel) is the source of this 74-nucleotide non-coding RNA. NCBI's taxonomy places the organism in Eukaryota, Metazoa, Chordata, Mammalia, Artiodactyla, Camelidae. The record is from Rfam.
GGAAGGGUGCAGCUCAGGGGUAGAGCUCAUGCUUGGAAUGCACGAGGUCCUGGGUUCAAGCCCCAGUACCUCCA